Molecule: unclassified non-coding RNA, 376 nt
Filed under: uncultured bacterium
Lineage: Bacteria
Description: contains 16S-23S intergenic spacer region
Source: RNAcentral
UCCGGCUUGACGCCGGCAGUCCCCCGAGAGUCCUCAGCUUUACCUGCUAGCAACACGGGGCAAGGGUUGCGCUCGUUGCGGGACUUAACCCAACACCUCACGGCACGAGCUGACGACAGCCAUGCAGCACCUGUGCGGGCUCCCGAAGGAGCGCCGUGUUUCCACGGUUUCACCCCGCAUGUCAAGCCCUGGUAAGGUUCUUCGCGUUGCGUCGAAUUAAGCCACAUGCUCCGCCGCUUGUGCGGGCCCCCGUCAAUUCAUUUGAGUUUUAACCUUGCGGCCGCACUCCCCAGGCGGUCGACUUAUCGCGUUAACUGCGCCACAAAGUCCGCGAGGGACCCAAUGGCUAGUCGACAUCGUUUACGGCGUGGACUAC